Non-coding RNA from Oncorhynchus mykiss (rainbow trout), 2292 nucleotides. The record is from RefSeq and is a predicted model, not a curated record. NCBI's taxonomy places the organism in Eukaryota, Metazoa, Chordata, Actinopteri, Salmoniformes, Salmonidae.
UUUAUAAAAAAUUAUUUCAAAAUAACCAAUGAAAAACUGGUGUUUCUAACAGUUUUGUUAUAUUUCAGUCUUCUGUGAUGUAUAUGAAGUGUAAUAUUGAGAUGCAAACUCAAAAUGGAAUACAUUUCAACUCUAUAUCUGACAUGGUACAGGUGUCUCCUUUUUAAGCCCAUAACCAUGUGUGAGGUGCAUACUAUUGUUUCAAAGUAAAUUUGUUAGACUGCAAAUAAUCACUUUGUGUGACCCUGAUUAAGCCCACUGCAGUAAAAGGUUCAAAUAAACAAAUCUGGUUUCUCCUUUCACUACCGUUAGCUAGCGAUAGCUAAAGUUAGCAAAAGUUUGUAUAGCCCCUUUUUGUUUCAAGUUGAGUUACUUCCAUUACAGAUAAACCAUGAAACCCCAUUGUUGGUUUGUGAAAAAAAUAAGGUGCAUUGACACAUGUUUGCUUAUUCAACCAUCUAACAAGAAGCUUGUAAUGCAGCUAUGGUGCAGCUAUGCAAAUCCCGAUUUUUGCAUUUAAUGUCAUCAAUAGGACAAGAUAACACAACAACUAAAGCUCAAUUUGGUUAUCUUUCCCUGUGAGUUACAUUUACUGCACUUUCCAAUGUGUUAUAAGGAAAUGAAUGUCCAGUUUUAAGCUCUACAGUUACGUAUGCCAUGCCUGUUUUAUAGUUUAUCUGUCUUUAUGACCAGGAAAUAUGAAGUUGUAUCAGAAUGUUUAGCAAUUCACAUGACUGACUCAUUGUUUCUACCAAAUUCCCCUGGUUUCUUGUUCCUGAUGCUAAACGGACUUGGCCUACUUCCUGACUCACAGCCAGCAUGUUUCAGUUCAUGCUGUUCACUACUCUUCUGCUGGAUUUAUCCGCAGUGUCCAACACAGCUGUUCUAGUACGGGAUGGAUCCUCUGUGACUCUGCUCUGCAAAAACUCUGACAUGAGUAAUGCUUGCUGGAGCAGAACAUGUAAUUGGUUUUGGUGCGUUGAACCAAUAAUGGAGGUAUCCGGACCUGACAUUUUUGGCCCGACACACCCUGACAAAUACAGCCUCAGAGGAGACCUGAGCAUUGGUGAGCUAGACCUCACCCUUUCAAAUGUGAAGCCAGCAGACGAUGGGACCUAUUGCUGCAUGACCAGUGCAUCACCAAACCCAAUGACCUACCGUCUGAAAAUAGUUAAUGGCAAGUGGUUUUAAGUCAAUGUCCUUGAAUCCUGGCCCAGGGAAAGUACUCCCUUUCUAAGUAUGUGUUUGCCUUUAUUGUUGCUUGUGUCACUGAUCGUUGUAACAAACAGUACAUUUACUAUCAACUCACUGCGAUACUUGACUUUUGUUCAACAGCAGCAAAUGUCAGAUUUUGGAAUGUCGAAUCAUCACUAGAAUUGACUUGCCUGGUCAAAAUAAUGACAAUAGCUCAUCACAUUAAUGACUUCAAUGAAGCAAUAACCCAGAUUUGAUUAAGUUUAGGCAAGGACUCAACUUGGUCAGGGUCGGGGCUAUUGUUAAUUAAGGGAGAAGUUACACGACCAUUAGACCUGAUCAUGUGCUAACACCUGCUCAGCAGCCCUCUGGUGGACGAACUGUCAUACUGCCUCCCGACGUAUAACCACCUUGGUCAGACGUCCAAUAGCGCAGUCUGAGGCAUGCGACCUGGCUGACUUGCCUGAACUGUUUUAUUUUGUCUUUGUCACGCAGGUUGUGUGAGGGAGCUCCUGAAAGAUGUUUGUUUCAUUUAUAAUGACAUUAAGCACUUUGCAAGCCCAAAUGCAAACCAAUGUCAACAGAGCUGCACCCAACUUGAUGCCUGUCAGUAUUUCACAUAUAUUCACAGUCGACAGGAGUGCUAUCUGAAGGGCUCAGCUGGUGGCAGGGCAAUGAAUGUGAUACACUUAGAAGACAGAGUUUCAGGCUACACCCUUAAAGACUGCGAGGAAAAAGGAAAGAAAACUGUAAGCACGGUGAAGAUGUUUCUGAAAGUACCUCCAGGAGUUGACCUUAAUGACGCUCUGGUGAAAGAGCAAAUUCUCACACAGAUACAGGCAGAGAUCGCCCAGACAGAUGGAGGUGCAUCUGUGCGAUGGAAGGAGCAGUCGGAUGGAAAAGUCUUCCAGAAGAAAGAGAAAGAGGAGAGAAAGAAAGAACGUAAGUCAAAAGACACAAGACAUGACCACUUGAAUGUUCCAAGUCUGUUAGUCCAUUUGGUUGUUAUUCUGGGUUAAUACCUCAAUAUAAUGCAUCAUAAUAAAAAUAGCAAUACAUGUUACAUUACCUCUUUGUGUGUGUGUGUGCAUAAUUAUC